Molecule: ribosomal RNA, 488 nt
Filed under: uncultured bacterium
Lineage: Bacteria
Description: partial 16S ribosomal RNA
Rfam family: Bacterial small subunit ribosomal RNA
Source: RNAcentral
GACGAACGCUGGCGGCGUGCUUAACACAUGCAAGUCGAACGGAAAGGCGCUGCUCUUGUUGGGUGCUCGAGUGGCGAACGGGUGUGUAACACGUGAGUAUCCCCCCCUUGACUUUGUGGUAACUCCAGGAAACUGGGGCUAAUACCGGAUAGGAGCUCCUGCUGCAUGGGGGGGGUUGGAAAGUUUCGGCGGUGGGGGAUGGACUCGCGGCUUAUCAGCUAGUUGGGCGGGUAAUGGCCUACCUGGCCGUGGACGGGUAGCCGGCCUGGGAGGGGGACCGGCCGCAUGGGAAGGGGAACACGGACCAGGGGACUACGGGAGGCAGCAGUGGGGAAUGGGGGGCAGCGGGGGGAAACAUGGCCCAGUGAGGCCGCGUGUGAGAAGACGGCCCUCGGGGCGGAAAGCGGGUUUUUUAGUGAAGAACCGCUUUGGGCUGAUACGAAGCGGGAGUGACGGUACCGGAUGAAGAAGCACCGGCUAACUACGUG